This is a non-coding RNA of Phoenix dactylifera (date palm), 2984 nucleotides long. The record is from RefSeq and is a predicted model, not a curated record. NCBI's taxonomy places the organism in Eukaryota, Viridiplantae, Streptophyta, Magnoliopsida, Arecales, Arecaceae.
CCCGGAAUCUGGAAUUCCGCAAUUAGUUCAAACAGUGUGAGCAAAUUACGGGAACCACAUUGCCGGAAUUAGCUCAAGCUAUCUGAACUAAGGCACGUGCCACUUAUCGCCCGUGCCAAAUCUAACAUUGCACAGCCGAGAGAGAACGAAAGACCCCAUCCGCUUGAACCCUACUCCGUCGCGCCGGAACCCUAAAACCCUCACAAUUCCACCUUCCAGUUCCAAAGCAGCAGUUCAAACCAAACAAGAAGAAACCCAAGGAAGGAGAACAAGAAGAAGAGGAGGAGGAGGAAGACUUUCAUCAAACACCAAAUGGGCAAGCUCCCUCCCUCCAUGCGCUCCGCCAAGCUCCCCCUCGCCUUCCUCAAACCUCACCCUUCUCCCUCCCCAUCCCCCUCUCCCCCUCCUCCCAAACCCUACCGCCCUUCCCUCCUCAAAAACCCCCUCAAGAAGAAGAAGAAACACUCCACCCAAACCCCUUCUCCCCUCGCCUCCCCAUCGCCUCCCCCCAUCUUCCAAUCCCCCGCCCUCUCCGACGCCGUCGCCACCUUCGACUCCCUCUCCGCCGCCACUGCCGAGGCUGGCGCCUCCCUUGACCCCGCAACCCUCCUCCGCUCCUUCUGCGAUGCCGGCGCCUCCCCCUCCGAUGCACUCUGCCUCUUCCGCCACAUCUCCUCCCACCUCCCCCCCGACCGCCCCUGCUUCCACGUCCUCCUCGGUCACUCGUGCCUCCAACCCGCUGUCGGCGACAACGACGACCACCUCACCCCCGUCUUCAACGUGCUCGACCUAAUGUCCUCCUCUGGCUUCCCCCCAGAUGCCGCCUCCGCCGACCUCGCCGUCCGCGCCCUCUGCUCCGCCGGCCGCCUCGACGACGCCUGCGCCCUCCUCCGCCGCCUCUCCUCCUUUUCCUCCCCCGCCGCCGUCCCCCCCGACGUCUUCACCUACAACUUCCUUAUCCGCCGCCUUGCCCGUUCCCGCCCCAUCUCCUCCGUCUACGCCUUCAUUGACGAACUCCGCCGCUCCUCCGGUAUCCGACCCGACCUCGUCACCUACACCAUCCUCAUCGACGCCGUCUGCCGCGGGCGCAACCUCCGUGAGGCCACUCGCCUCCUCGGCGUGCUCGCCGAUGCCGGCUUCAAGCCUGAUUGCUACCUCUAUAACACUAUCAUGAAGGGUUACUGCAUAGUGGAUCAGUGCGGCGAGGUGAUGGAGGUCUACAACAAGAUGAAGGAUGAGGGAGUCGAGCCUGAUCUCGUCACCUAUAACAGCCUCAUAUAUGGGCUCUCUAAGGCCGGGAUGGUCGACCAGGCAAAAAGGUUCCUCAAUGUGAUGGCAAACACGGGUCAUUUCCCUGAUACGGUGACCUACACGUCCCUAAUGAAUGGGAUGUGCAGGAAAGGCGAUGCCUUGGGGGCGCUCAGGCUAUUGGGAGAGAUGGAGGAGAAGGGGUGCAGUCCAAAUGAGUGCACAUACAACACACUGCUAAUGGGGCUGUGCAAGGCCAAGUGUUUGGAGAAGGGGAUGGAGUUGUAUGGAGUGAUGAAGGCUGGAGGUAUGAAGCUGGAGAAUGCAGCUUAUGCCACAUUUGUGAGGGCGCUGUGUCGGGCGAAUAAGAUUGCAGAGGCAUAUGAGGUGUUUGGUUAUGCGUUGGAGAGCAAGAGCUUGACUGAUGUAUCGGCUUACAUGGCAUUGGAGAGCUCGCUGAAGUUCCUGAAGAAGGCGAAAGCAUAAUUUAUGCACAUCCAUUGAACCUACCAGCUGCCCGGUGCCACCAUCAUCAAGUCCUCCCUUCUCUUCACUUUUCCAAGCCCUCCUCCCACCAACUAUGGAUGAGCUGUUGCCCUCCUCACUGUUGCAAAUGGCUGCUCAGUCCGCUACAUCCGUAUCUUGACCAAGACAUGACAAAUUCAUCAUGUUCCAUCAUCAUUGGCAAGUUUGUCUCCUAGAUUCAGCCCCACAGCAAUGCUGCUUCCUUUGCUAUAUCUUUGCUGCCAUGGUGCCCUCCUCUUGCAGCCCAACUACGAGAAUGUAGUUGCCAUGUGCCCACCUCCAUUGGCAUCCUCAUGAUUAACUCUACCCCGCUGAUCACCAUCUAAUGGCUGGAUCCCAGUCAUUGGGAACAAUUUCAUGUCCGCAAUUGAGAAACCCAGAAAAUGAAAGGAUCUGGCUGGGGAAAUAGUGGCUGACAUUUUAUCUAGAUUGUACCAGUCAGUCCCUGUUAUCUUAUAGACAAGACUGAAAACCAUGUGCAUGAAGCUUGCUUGACAAAUUAUUAGGAAAAGUGAUUUUGCAUGGAGAUUAUUACCUGGAGUUUGCAGAUACUAGAGAGAAUUACUUGAAAAGACACUAAAUUUUCAUUAUUGCAUGUAGUGAUUUUACAUGAAAAAUAUAUCCCAAGAACUUACCAUCAGGAGCACUUAUCUAUGUUACAAGACAUGGUAGACUUAUGAGAACCUUGGUGAAAGUUUUAUUAAAGGAUUUUCAGAGACCUUCUUGGCAUGAUUGCAGAUAACCUGGAUGGUAAUAAUGGAAAAGGAUGUCUGGUGGAGCACUAACUGAUAGAACACAUCUUGUCGGUCAUUGUUUAGUUCUGCUAGCAAGAGCAUGAAUAACCAAACUGAGGCACUCUUGUAUCUGUAUUGCCAUCAGCAGAUUAUUGCUACGAUUUUUUGGCUAUUCCCUCCUGGCAUUUGAUUUUUAAUACAGGUCAGUGGAAGCAACUGCUAAAUUGUGCAUGCAACUUGUCUGGAGAACCAACUUCGAGCUUGCUGUCUGCUCCAAAUGGAUAUUGGGAUCAGCAAUGUUGUAUUAAAAUCUUUUAUAAACUGUAACAAAAAAAGGGAAAAUCUUAUAUAAACAAUCAUUCUUUUCCUGACAAUGCCAUCAUCAGUUCCUCUCAUGUACUAUUAUCGAGAUGUUUUAUUCCAUUUUGGAAGAUGUAAUCAUUCUUUUCCUGAUAUUGCGAUCAUUAGUUCCUCUCA